AGUCGAGGGGUAUAGGUUUUCGGACCUAGAGACCGGCGCACGGGUGCGUAACGCGUAUGCAAUCUACCUUUCACAGAGGGAUAGCCCAGAGAAAUUUGGAUUAAUACCUCAUAGCAUUAUGAAAUGGCAUCAUUUUAUAAUUAAAGUCACAACGGUGAAAGAUGAGCAUGCGUCCCAUUAGCUAGUUGGUAUAGUAACGGCAUACCAAGGCUACGAUGGGUAGGGGUCCUGAGAGGGAGAUCCCCCACACUGGUACUGAGACACGGACCAGACUCCUACGGGAGGCAGCAGUGAGGAAUAUUGGUCAAUGGGCGCAAGCCUGAACCAGCCAUGCCGCGUGCAGGAUGACGGUCCUAUGGAUUGUAAACUGCUUUUGUACAGGAAGAAACACUCCUACGUGUAGGAACUUGACGGUACUGUAAGAAUAAGGAUCGGCUAACUCCGUGCCAGCAGCCGCGGUAAU
Molecule: ribosomal RNA, 463 nt
Filed under: uncultured bacterium
Lineage: Bacteria
Description: bacterial SSU rRNA
Rfam family: Bacterial small subunit ribosomal RNA
Source: RNAcentral